AUCAAAACAAAUCUUCAAGGCCUAACAUCAUCUCUACUGGAAUUGAGCGGGCUCGUUUGACUAUGGUUUGGAGGAAAUAUGAGAGUCUUCAAUGAUGCUAUCAAAUUUGAGCUCUUGACAACUCGUAUUGUGAAACAGACAUUUCAUCAAUUGGCCUAUUAGAGUUUAGGGCAAUUUAGGGUCUAUUAGAAAGAAUAGCUUACAAA
RNAcentral lists this unclassified non-coding RNA (206 nucleotides) under Hevea brasiliensis (rubber tree). The record is from RNAcentral. Lineage: Eukaryota; Viridiplantae; Streptophyta; Magnoliopsida; Malpighiales; Euphorbiaceae.